AUGAAAAUUAUCGAUCAAAAAAUUCUGAAACUAGAAGAACUGAAAGACUGUUUUUCCGUGGUUCUUGGUGUUGAUCAGGUUCCUCGUGGAAAACCUUGCCCUGACAUAUAUCUGGAAGCCGCAGAGAGACUCGGCGUAAAUCCAUCAUCAUGCCUGGUCAUAGAAGAUUCUCUUGUUGGAAUCCGGGGUGCCAAGGCUUCUGGGGCAAAGGUAGUCGCUGUUCCGUCACUCCAAACUGAAAGGAAACGUUACUCAAUUGCCGAUCUUGUCCUCUGUUCACUGCUGGACUUCCAUCCUGAACUAUGGGAUCUUCCUCCAUUUGACGAUCGUAACUUUCUCGAUUUCUCCAUUCUCCAUUAA
RNAcentral lists this ribosomal RNA (360 nucleotides) under Triticum aestivum (bread wheat). Its description in RNAcentral is "partial small subunit ribosomal RNA". Lineage: Eukaryota; Viridiplantae; Streptophyta; Magnoliopsida; Poales; Poaceae. The record is from RNAcentral.